Molecule: non-coding RNA, 73 nt
Organism: Oopsacas minuta
Lineage: Eukaryota; Metazoa; Porifera; Hexactinellida; Lyssacinosida; Leucopsacidae
Source: the annotation of a GenBank genome assembly
GGCCCAGUGGCGCAACGGUUAACGCGUCUGACUACGAAUCAGGAGACUGCAGGUUCGAAUCCUGCCUGGGUCG